This 497-nucleotide ribosomal RNA is filed under the name uncultured bacterium. Its description in RNAcentral is "bacterial SSU rRNA". It matches the Rfam family "Bacterial small subunit ribosomal RNA", at positions 8 to 502 of the family's 1533-position model. The record is from RNAcentral.
AGAGUUUGAUCCUGGCUCAGGAUGAACGCUAGCGGCAGGCCUAAUACAUGCAAGUCGAACGGUAACAUGAGAGCUUGCUCUUGAUGACGAGUGGCGCACGGGUGCGUAACGCGUAUGCAACCUACCCUUUACAGGGGGAUAGCCCGGAGAAAUUCAGAUUAAUACCCCAUAGUACUAUAAUGUAGCAUUAUAUAAUAGUUAAAGAUUUAUUGGUAAAGGAUGGGCAUGCGUGACAUUAGUUAGUUGGUAAGGUAACGGCUUACCAAGACUAUGAUGUCUAGGGGUUCUGAGAGGAAGAUCCCCCACACUGGUACUGAGACACGGACCAGACUCCUACGGGAGGCAGCAGUAGGGAAUAUUGGUCAAUGGACGAGAGUCUGAACCAGCCAUGCCGCGUGCAGGAAGACGGCCUUCUGGGUUGUAAACUGCUUUUAUAUAGGAACAAAUAGACCAUGCGUGGUAAGUUGAGUGUACUAUAUGAAUAAGCACCGCUAACU